AGUCGAGGGGAAACGACAUCGAAAGCUUGCUUUUGAUGGGCGUCGACCGGCGCACGGGUGAGUAACGCGUAUCCAACCUGCCCACCACUUGGGGAUAACCUUGCGAAAGUAAGACUAAUACCCAAUGACGUCUCUAGAAGACAUCUGAAAGAGAUUAAAGAUUUAUCGGUGAUGGAUGGGGAUGCGUCUGAUUAGCUUGUUGGCGGGGUAACGGCCCGCCAAGGCUACGAUCAGUAGGGGUUCUGAGAGGAAGGUCCCCCACAUUGGAACUGAGACACGGUCCAAACUCCUACGGGAGGCAGCAGUGAGGAAUAUUGGUCAAUGGACGAGAGUCUGAACCAGCCAAGUAGCGUGCAGGAUGACGGCCCUAUGGGUUGUAAACUGCUUUUAUAAGGGAAUAAAGUGAGUCUCGUGAGACUUUUUGCAUGUACCUUAUGAAUAAGGACCGGCUAAUUCCGUGCCAGCAGCCGCGGUAAUACGGAAGGUCCGGGCGUUAUCCGGAUUUAUUGGGUUUAAAGGGAGCGUAGGCCGGAGAUUAAGCGUGUUGUGAAAUGUAGAUGCUCAACAUCUGCACUGCAGCGCGAACUGGUUUCCUUGAGUACGCACAAAGUGGGCGGAAUUCGUGGUGUAGCGGUGAAAUGCUUAGAUAUCACGAAGAACUCCGAUUGCGAAGGCAGCUCACUGGAGCGCAACUGACGCUGAAGCUCGAAAGUGCGGGUAUCGAACAGGAUUAGAUACCCUGGUAGUCCGCACGGUAAACGAUGGAUGCCCGCUGUUGGUCUGAAUAGGUCAGCGGCCAAGCGAAAGCAUUAAGCAUCCCACCUGGGGAGUACGCCGGCAACGGUGAAACUCAAAGGAAUUGACGGGGG
RNAcentral lists this ribosomal RNA (869 nucleotides) under uncultured bacterium. RNAcentral describes it as "bacterial SSU rRNA". It matches the Rfam family "Bacterial small subunit ribosomal RNA", at positions 60 to 919 of the family's 1533-position model. The record is from RNAcentral.